UUAUUUCAUCUAGGGGUUAAAAAACUUGAUAGCGAAAAGAGGUUUUACUAUUAAUAGUAUUCCAGUCUAAUUCUAUAUAUAUAUUAUAUAUUAUUAUAUUAUAUAUAUAUGGAGUCCGAACGUACGGUGCUUGUAAAAGUAUCAAAUAUUUGGUGUUUGUAAAUUUUUUACCGUUUAGAUCUACGCCUUUGAUCAUUUUCAUCCGUUAGAUUAUACUAUUCAACCAACCACCCACUUUAACCCUAGGGGGCCCACAUCAUCUUAACCACACAUUCUUUAAUCCAAGGGCUAAAAACCUACAAGCACCAAUGACUUGGUACUUUUAAAAGCAUAGGAGCCUCAAAUUUUAUUUAUAUAAUAUAUAUAAUAUAUAUAUAUAUAUAUAUGUAUGACUACUAUGCUAUUAGGAGCACAGUAGCCCUUAUGCUCCUAAGUUUUUAACUUUCUAACCAUUCAUCAAUUUUGAUGGGUGAUUAGGGUGAGAGAGAGAAGAGAAAUUGGAAACAAAUUCAAAGAGAAGAGAAAUUGAGAUACCUAAUUUUUCCUCAAUUUCUCUUCUCUCUCACAUCCUAACUACCUAUCAAAGUUGAUAAAUAGUUAGAAGCUUAAGAGCACAAGGGCUACUGUGCUCCUAAUAGCACAGUAGCCCUAUUCUCUCUCUCUCUCUCUCUCUCUCUCUCUCUCUCUCUCUAUAGAGAGAGAGAGAAACUACUGCACUAUCUAUAGUAUCGAAGCUUCAAUACUAUAGUGUCAUUUUGUAUCUUAGGUUGCUCAAAUCAACAAUCCACACCAUUAAAUAUGAUUUAGAAUAAAUAAAGUAUCAAUGACUUGGUGCUCCAAGUUACGCGCGCACACGCGCACACACACACACACAUAUAUAUAUAUAGAGAGAGAGAGAGAGUGUCCGCUAUGGUGCUUUUGAAAACACCAAGUACUUGGUGCUCACAAGUAUUCCAUCAUUAGAUCUAUCAGUUUGACCAAUUUCAUCCUUUAGAUCAUGCUAUUUCAUCAACCACUCACUCAAUCCUAGGGCACUACCAUUAUCCUAACCCUACAAAUCUUAUCCAAAGGCCAAAAAUCCAAAAGCACCAAUGCUUUAAAAAAUAUAAGAGCUCAAUUUUAUAUAAAUGGAACUAGGUUAUUAUAUUAUUAAUAGCACUAAGUCAUUAAUGCUGUUAGGUUUUUGCUAUUGGAUUAAGAUAUAUGUAGCUAGGAUGAUAGUAGUCCCCUAGGCUGCGUUUGGUUACAGGAUAUAAUAGGAAUAAUACAUUUUAUUCCUGCAAUUCUGCCAAACAUAAGUAAAAUUGGAAGAGAUAUUUAAUUCCGGUCAAAGCGGGUUAUUCUUGACAAUUCUAGAAUAACCCGUUAACAACUAUUCCUCUCCAACAGUGGAAUAGCUGCGUCCUUCAAUUUAUACCAAAGGCAGUAAGUGAAAAAGUUGCCUCGUUAUUUGAGCCCACCUACCCUACUCUAUACUCCUUAGCCAAAUGCCUCUUUUAGUUAAAACUUUUUACAAUAUUUUAUAUUAUUGUGUAUACUAUUUUUGAUUAAUUAUAUCUAAGGUAAAAAUAUUUUAUAAUUAAUUAUUAAAAUAUUUUAUAAAUAAUAUGAAUAUUAAAAUAUUAAAUAUAAUUUUCUUUCAGUAAAAUAUUAUAUUGCAUAUAUUAUGUUUUAUUUGAAAUGUUGUUCAUUUUAUUAAAUAUUACAUAUAAAAGAGGCACACACAAGGACAAUAUUGGCAUUUUAGAAAAAUUCAAUCUACUUUUACUAUUAUUCUCUAUUAUUCCUAAGCAAUUUUCCAAACAUAAAUUUUCUUAUUCUUCUGAAAAAGAGAAUUUCAUACCAAAUAUAAAAUUCAUUUUAUUCUUUUGUAUCCUAGAAUACACCCUAAAUCCAAGAAUAAAAAUAUUUAUACUUCUAAACAUUAUUCCAUUAACAAACACAACCUUAGGGUUGAGUGGGUAAUUGGUUGACUAGUAUGAUUUAUUGGUGGAAAUAGUCAAAGGGAUAAAUCUACCAGUGGAAAACUUGGUAGUAUACCAAGUGCUUGGUGCUAUUAAUAGCAUAGCAGCCGGACUAGUCCAACUACUAUACUCUUAUAAGUAUGAUCGUUUAGUACUCAUAAGCCGUUUUUAAUGAUAGAAUUUUCGUAUCGACGAUCCAUAUUGUUAAACAAAAUUUAGAGCAUUUGAAACUUCUAGAAAUUAAAUUUUAUAAUUUUUCAACGUCAUUUACCUUAUGAUUAAAAAAAAUCUCAAAAUUUAUAAUUUUAACGGUCGAUAUGAGAUACUUACUAGUUUAACCAUGUAAAAGAAAUGGAGUUGUUUGAAUUUUCGGUGAAAAUUCUAUUCACUAUCUACAUCAAUAAUUCCAAUCUCAAAUUAAAAAACUUUGAUCCUCUAUUUUUUUGGAGGUCUUUCAAUUAUAAGCAUUCAUUUUACGCCAGCUUGAUGUAUUUUAUUAUAAUUUUAAAAAAAUUACGAAAUUCAUUUUUCAUAUGUUCAAAUGCUCUAGAUCAUAUUUAAUAAUAUGAAUCGUCGACUUAGAAGCUCCGUCAUUAAAAACAACUUAUGAGUACGAAGAAAGAGAGAGAAAGAGAAAGCAAAGAGUUACACUAGUAUGCUUUCAAAAACACGAAGGACUCCGUACUGUCAAAUUUAUUUUCGAUGAUUGGACAUUCAAAUAUUAGAAUUAUCUGGAGAGCAAAUUUGAUUUAUAGAUAUUUCAGUAUAGAUCAUAUCUAAAGAAAUCGAUCGUCAAAUCAAAUGUGCUAUCAUCGAAAACUAAAGUGAAAGUAUGAAAGCCUUCAUACUUUCGAAAACAUACGAGCCUACUUAUGUAGAGAUAGAAUAUUAUGGUCUCAUGAGUAGAAAGGCCUCUGGAAAUUUUUUUUCGAUAAUGAGACAUCCGAUUUGAUGAUCGGCUCUAUUAAAUAUGAUUUACACUAUUGAAACUAUUUAGAAACUCAAUUUUAUAAUUUUUUUUUCUUAUUUGCCUAGUGAACAAAUGGUCUCAAAAUAAACGGUUGAAAAUAAAAAUCUCACAAAAAAUAGUCCCAGAUGACUUAAAUCGAAAGUAUUGAUCUUGCUCUUGAUGGAAAAAUAAUUGUUUAUUAAAAUUCACCUAAUUUGAAUUUUUGUAUACCUUUGAACUUACAAACAUACCACAUUGGCUACUAAAAUAGUAAUUUUUGAGAUUCUAAUCACUUGGCAAAUGAUGUUGAAAAAUUAUAAAAUUAAUUUCUAGAUAGUUCCAAUAGCGUAUAUCAUGUCUAAAAGAACUGAUCGUCAAAUUAGAUAUCCCAUCUUAGUCUUCCAAGAACAUGAUGUGUCCAAAAUUGUAGGAGAGAAGUGACUCGGUUGUUUUUUUCUUUUUUUAAGAUAAAAGCAUGCUAUCUUUUUCAUUUUUUAGGAAAAUGAAUUUAGCUAUACGAGUAAGACAACUAGAUCUCCAAAAUGGAAGAUCAAAAUACUAAUAAAAAAAUAUAACAAAAAAGAAAAGAAACUGAACAAGAACCCUAACGCAUCAUUACCUACAAUUAAUGACUAUUAUAUAUAUUUGAUUUGAUGCACAUGCUUUGUGUUUAACAUCAGGAUGCCGCUGCUUAUGAGGAACCAAAGAAGGAUUUGAGGAGUAGAGGACUAUGCCUGGUUCCUGUGUCAUUCACCCUUCAUGUUGGAGGAGACAAUGGAGCUGAUUACUGGGCUCCGGCUUUCGGCGAGGAAUUCCGAUGAGAAGCUCGAUCGAACGCGCGCGCACCGAUCGACCAAUCAACUCGCGCCUGAUCAGUUUCGAUGCAUGCAUGGCGGAGAAAACAUGAACAAUUGUUCAAGGUGAGAUAGAUUGGUAAAUGUAGGACAUCAAACUGUAACAUAAACAGCAAAAUUAGGUGGUAGGUACAUAAUUAAACUAAUUAAUAAUUUGGUGAGGGGCUCCUUUGCUCUCUUGUAACUUGAAUUUUAUUGAAUGUAUUGUAGUGGUAUUGUAGUGGUAUUGUAGUAUGUUAGAUAAAUAUCAUGAAGAUUUAUGUAUGGUUGACGAUUUUAUACAUAUAUAUAAAAUCAAUAGCACCAAGAGCUUGGUGCUGUUAGUUUUUUAACCCUUGGAUUGAGAAAUGUGUGGUUAGAUGAUAUGGGCCCCCUAAGGUUGGGUAGGUGGUUGAUUGAAUAGUAUAAUCUAACGGGUAAAAAUAAUCAAAGAUUAAAUCUAACAGUGAAAAACUCGAUAGCACCAAACCCUUAGUGCUAUCGAUAGUAUCCCAGUCACUCUAUAUAUAUAUAUAUAUCUUCAUUAGUCAAGAAAUGUAUAUUUUUGUCCAAGAUGAGACAUUUUUCAGGAAUUAAACAUAUGUAGUAUGGUGAUUUUCCACACAAUUUCAAGAAAAAAAAAAAAAGAAAAAGGGUUCCUGAUUUUCCAUCUUUAAAUAUAAAUUCAUCGGCAUUAAAUUUUCAUUUCAUGAAAAACUAUAUUCAAAUUUUAUAGAGAAAUUUAAGAAUAUUACAUAACUAUUUAAUCAUAUCAGAUAACCACAAAGUCUACAACUGUAAUAGUUAACAAAAAACAUUUGUUAAAGUGUAACAAUAUAGAACAAUUCUCAUUCGCUACCAUUUUUGCUAUAAAAAAGUUGAGCUUUUUAAGUACCAACUUGUAAUACUUUUACGUUGCUUUUGAUGAUACAGCAUUUGAAUCGGUGAUCAAUAUUGUUAAAUAUGAUUUAUGAAUCGGUGAUUAAUAUUGUUAAAUAUGAUAUAGACACGUGAAAUUCCUAGCAACCAAAUUUCAUUAUCUUUCAACAUUUUUAACUUACCAUUCUAAGUGAUCUCAAAAUUAAUAAUUUUCAACAGCAUCAAUACAGUGCAUUUGAGACGACUUAGAUCAUUAGUUAAAUAAUGUUAGAAAUCAUGAAAUUUGGCACCUAAGAAGUUUCGUAAAUCAUAUUCAACAAAAUCAAUCAUCGAUACGUAUGCCCCAUCACUGAAAAUGAUGCAACAAUAUCAAGUCUACAUAUAAUUAUAUUAUUAUAUUGCCGAGCACGUGUGCUACUGGUAAAAUAUAAUUUAAAUAAGUUCAAGAUUUUGUUUAAAAAAUUUCCAAAAUUUCUAGAUCAAAUAGGAAAAAUCAUUGCCUACACCUAAUGCAAUCAUACAUCUACUUACGAGGAAUCAAUUGACAUUCCAUCCAAGGAUCAAAAUGAUCAAAAUGAGAUAGAUGCAUAGUGAAGGUUAAAACACUAGUGAUGCAACUUCAUAGCCAUACAAACUCUAUCAAAGUUGCUUUAUAAGCAGAUUAUUAAGAGAUCCUCAUGAGCACAUUGGCAAGUCCCAGAUCACCUGCCUUUGACAAGGCACAAGGAGAAACAAAACACUGCAAGCACCUCAGAAUCACCAGGAGUCUUCAGGACAGAGAGAUUUAUAACUUACAGCCAAAAGCACUAGAAGCACUAGAAACACUAGUGAAAGCUUUCUUACAGUGCCUUGAGAAUCUCAUCCGCCCCCGAUAUGGUGAACUGGCCGCCCUCCUCGAUGUUUGCGACCUUCACCUUGAGGUCGUCGACGAGAAGCGCGAACCUCCGGGAACGAGUCCCGAGUCCCUUCUCAGAAAGAUCGAGCUCGAGGCCCAGCGCGCGGGUGUACGCCCCCGAUCCAUCAGCGAGGAACUUCACGUGUUUGUUCUCGGGGUAAGUCUUAGCCCAGGCCUUCAUUACAAAGGGGUCGUUGACUGCAAACAUUUAUUAAUUAUAGAUAUCAAGUGCGAGCCAACUUAUGCGUUAAGAAAAAGGUACUUAUUGAUAGUUUUGCUGAUUUACUGAAUCCUUAAGAAAAGUUUUUGUUUUCUGAUGUAGAAGUGUGUUGGUAGCUAAAUGUAUGCAUUUACAGCUAACAAAGAAAAAAGUAAUUGAACUAUACCGCUGAUGAGAAGGAUUUCAUCAACACCCUUGGAUUUAAGUUCCUCGGCAUUCUGGAUGAAGCCAGGCACAUGCUGCAUGCUGCAUUCCAGAUUACAAUCAACCAAUUUUACGAUUGAAUUUGAAGAAGAAAUCAGAAAGAGCCAAAGUGAAAAAGUAGAAAAGAUGCAGGUGGUUAUGUCUGAAUCAAAUUAUAUGACACAAACAAACUCAUUUUGAAUCUCGUCAUGGGAUAAAAAAAAACUAAAAUUGGGUGGGAAAAAACACAGAGAGAGAGAGAGAGAGAGAGAGAGAGAGAGAGAGACCACACUCAGCAAAGACAAAGUAUGGUUUAAAAUGGAAGUUCUAUAGGCAUCAAUGUUCCAAAAGACAAUAUGCAAUGUCCAUGCGGUUUGCCUACUGUAUAGCGUGUCUGCAGUACGCGGGCGCAUAUAUGAGUUUGUAUGGCAUGAGAUGAGAUAACUAGUUGAUGUAUGAUAGUUUCGUUUGGUGUUCCAAUGACCAAAUGGUAAUACGCUGUCAAACUUCUCAUCUAGUAUAUAGGCAUAGACAUGUCGAAUGCCCUGAAUCAUGAUAAACAAAGAGAUCAUCACUUCGAAUAAUUAUACACACCAUGUUGUUAUAUACCAAGAAACAUUAGAGACGUCAUAGUCCUUGGGCAGUUUGGAGUGUCGGAUCAUCUGAAAACUAUAUGAGUUUGUAUCUCUUUUAACUUAUAAAACAGGUUAGAGAAAAAGUAAUCUACUUUCAGCACGAUCACACUUCUCUUAACUGGAGAUGCAUUAGAGAUAUUCAAAUAAGAUGAUAAUAUGUUUCGUAGUGUACAAUCAUGAUCAAGAAUAACUUCUAAAUUUAAGAACAUAACGUCUAUGGAACUAUAAUAUCAUGAUCACAAAUAAUUUCUAGUUGAUGCACAUGCAAGUAACAUAACAAAAAUAAAUGUAAUUAUUGUUUAAACAGAAUGUGUAAGCACUGUUUGCACACUCAUUCCGCAUGAAAUUAAUCAAUGAUCAUACUCAAAUUUUCACUGAAAACACACAAAAUGGCCAACAACAAAAUGAAGAAAAUGCUUCCACCUCUAUCUUUCCAAGAUUCGAGGAGUGCAUCGAGUGUGAUGCGUAAACAACAAAAGCUCAAAGUUUUGUGCGAAGGGCAUAAACAGGACGGAACUGGUAUAGUUCAUAUUCAUUAUAUAUCUGAAAAUUAUAGGUUAUCAAUCCAAACUCGAUCUAGUGAAUACAACAUGUAUUAGAUUUUUAUAAUUUGAGGCUUGUUUUGAAUUUCUUGUUUCGAACUAAUGCUAAGAGCUCAUGAUUUUUUUUUAAAAGAAUUGAGCCCUCAUCACAUAUAACUCCAACUAAUAGAGUAAAAUUGAAAGAAAACCAUCUGCUUCAAUCUGAAUUAAUUCUAACAAUCAAAGAAAGAUUAAUUCUCACUUCAGAAGCCAUGCAAGUCAAUAAACUUAUUUGAAGCUAUUAUACUAGGCAUACAGGCAACACAGUCAAUUCCAAUUAAAUUCGUGUUCAAAUCAAGGAGUUGGCGGUUCUUACCUUGUAUUAAUACGGAUUUAGUGAAUCAUAAAUAAGUCGGUAACAAGAUAGUCUGUCAUUUGAAGAAAUGUUUACAAGUUGUUGUGUUUGGGGUUGUAGAUAAUUUGCGGAACCAAGUGCUCUUAUAUUUGGAUUAUUCAGCAAUUUGUGCACAACUACAGUAGAUUCUAAAUUGAAUGUUAAAACUAAUCUUAUGGCAUUUAUUCCAAUCUAACUCCACGCCCAUAAUAUUGAAGAGAAAGAAAUUAAGAUUCAGAUCCCUCUCUGUAUGAAGCAAACUUAAAGAAAGUAGCUUAUUAUUAAAUUUCCAAAAACAUUUUUCUUCCUCAUCUCAUCUUCUUUUAAACAAAACAAAAAAACCUAAUAGAAAAUAAUCAAAAAAAAAAAAAAAAAAUCAGUACUCAAGACUGACCUGAUAUGAAAAGAAAUAAGUUUUAUUUGCUAAAAGAUUAAAACAUCAUUCUCUACAAGUGUUCUCUUCAUGUUUUGGGUUAAACUUUCUUCAUUAAAACUAUGUUAGUUAAAAACUCAAAAUAAUAUAGAACAGUCUAAGAAUAUGGUAAACAGUUGAAAAUAUGUAACCUAUUAAAUACUGAUGAUGGAUCUGUCAUCCUCAUGGAAUAUGAUGGUAUUAGGGCUAGUUAUGAUACCUAACUAACUAGAAAUCGAUUCAAAAAUAAUCUUAACACAUGUAGUAACCAAGACGAAAAAAAACACGAAAGAAGGCAAGAAAGAAUCCCUCGUUCUAGCUCUUUCAAGCUCUCCUUUCAGAAUUCCAGCCAGCAACAAGGAAAAACAAAAGAGAAAAAAAAAGGAUAUAGGAAAGAAAUGAGUCUAUGAUUAGAUAAGAUGGUGAAGAUGGACAUUUUUAUCUUCUUGUGGUUGAUUAGGUUACAAUCGUUGACUUUAAUGGGCCAGCAUCCUGCCCCAUGACGGAGGCCGGAAUGAGCCGAUCACAGUUGAAGCCCACGGACACUGUGUGUCUAUACACUUUAAGUGGAUGGCUUGCACCCUUUUGAACAGCUCGAGCUUUUGGAGUUAGUGGUUAACGUCUUCGAUCCACAAGUGGUAUCAGAGCCAGUGGCGUGGGUUCGAUUCUCGCAUACUAAAAAUGUGCCCAAGUGCCGAGUGGGGUAUUGUCGGCUUUUAUAGGCCAGCAUACUGCCUUGUGACAGAGGCCGGGUUGGGCCGUAUCACAGCCGAAGCCCGCGGAAGCCGUGUGCCUAUAAACUUUAAGUAGGUUGGUUGCGCCCUUUCUAAAUGCUCAAGCUAUUGGAAUUAGUGGUUAAUGCCUUCGAUCCGGAGCAAUAAAUGCACGCCGAGUCGCCGACAGGUAAAGAAGUAAAGAAAAGUUACUUCCAUUUUUUUUUUCUUUUUGAGAAAAAGGUAGCAAGCUACCAGCUUCAUUCAUUGCGCAAAUGAAUUAAGCUCCAAAUUUUAGGCAACAAGGCUUCCAGAUGUCCGCCAAAUCAAAAGAAAAUACAAGGAGAAUAAAUGGGACAAAAUAAAGGGUUCGGAGGGCAUCGCCUCCGCCGGUCCACCGUGCCGCAGUUAGAGUGGCAAGCCAAUCAAGUAUAUCGCAUGCACGCGAUCUAACAACUAAAAGACUACUUGACAUGGAUUAAUUAUCACUUCUCUAUCCAAUCUGCUUAAAUUGAAUAAAAUCCUAGUCUCUAAACAAAAGGAAUCGCAAAGGGUAUAUCCAUUAUUAUCAAAUCAUACAGAAGAGUGCCGGACAAAGGAGGAGAAACCAGACGACCCAAGAUUCACUUGCUGGUGAUGUUCGAAUCACCGCCGAACUUCUCAGCUCCACAGAUCCAUCAAGACAUGCUUUUCUAUAGCACUCUAAAAACAAAUUUCUGUUUUAAUUAUUACUCACAAAAAUCUUGGGCAUCAGUAACCUACCAUAUGGAUCUCAUCACAAUAAAUCAUCAUCUUCCCCACACCCAAUUUGUAACCCUUGCAUCAAUCUUUCUAGUAAGAUUAAUUUCAUAUACCUUUCACAUCCGUUUUGGCAGGCAAUAUUCUAUGCACACUUCCAUGUUACGACGAGCGCAGAAACAAAAACGAGACGACGAACCUGCAGGUAGGGGUGAAGGCGCCGGGGACGCCGAAGAGGACGACCUUCUUGCCGGCAGCGAGGGAGUGUACGGACAGCUUCUGCAGCUCGUCCUUCUCGUCGAACCACGCCACCGUCCCGUCCGGAAGACUGUCGCCCACCCCAAUCGGAGCCAUUCUUUGUUUCCCCUUUUUUUUUCUGGAUUUUCUUCUUUCCUCACCUCCUCUUAUAAUGAGAUCGGAUAGACCGGAGCUAGCAGAGGGCAAACUUCAAAUACAACCCUGUGGUUUCACACUUUUUUACUUUGGUAUAUUAAAGUGUACCAAUUUAGUAUUCUAUAGUUGUAUUUUUCUCUUUUCGUCAACUUUUUCGUUAAUAUUUUGUUAAAUUAUAUACAAAAAAUUUCAGAUAUUCUGAUACCCUCACCUAAGUUUAUUGAAUAUUCAUUUUAGUACCUUUUAAUUUUAACUUUGUCACUGAUUUAACAGAUAAAAAUAGUGAAAGGAUAUUAAAUAUUCAUUUUAGUAUAUCCUGAUAUCCUGAUACCCUGACCUAAGUUUAUUGAAUAUUCAUUUUAGUACCUUUUAAUUUUAACUUUGUCACUGAUUUAACAGAUAAAAAUAGUGAAAGGGAUAAUAAAAAGAAAAAAUAAAAUUAUAAAAUACUAAAUUGAUACACUUUAAAUUAUAUAAUAUUAAUAUAAAAAAUUACGAAAUCAUAGGAGUAGUAUUUCAAGUUUUUUCUUGACUGAGUGAGGAGAAGAGAGAUGAUAUGAUAGGAUAUUAAUAUAAUACAAGCCUUCCGAGCAAAAAUAUACGAGAACCCCCUCAACUAUAACGUCGUCCUAAGAAAGGCUCAAACUUUUUUAAUCGGUUCAAUUGCUUAUUUCAGGAAUAAGUACAAGUUCAGACAUAUAUAGAAAAUAGACUAAUUUUAUAUUUGGAUGAAAAUUGAGUUAUUCCUGAGAAUAAAAUAAAUAGUAUUUGAAUAAUUAGAUUAGAACAAGAGGAACAAAGAGUUAUCAUUUUAAAUUAAAACUAUUUUAUCUAAUUAAUUAAAAUCAAAAUAUUACUUAAAAAUAAUUUUAAAAAUUAAUAAAUUUAUUAGCUAUGAAUAUUAUGUAAGAUAAUAAAAAUAUAUUUAUUUAUUAAUUAAUUAAUUAUAAAACUAAUUUAAUUUUUAAUUAGUUAGUAAAUUAUUUUAAUUAGAUAAGUAGUAAAAAAAAAUGUAAUUAGGUUAAUAAAAAUACUAAUUGUUGAUCAAUAUAAAUAUUAGUUUAUAGAUAAACAUAUUAAAUUAUUAAUAAUUAGCUAAUUAAUUACAAGUAAUAAAUUAAUUAAUUUUCUUAUUAUUUAAGCAAUAAAUAAUAAUUUAAAUAUAUUAAUUAAAUUAAUUAAUAAUUUAAUAUUAUAAUUAAAAUAAAUUUUAGAUUUUAAUUAAUCUUAUUUUCAAUUGGGAACAAACUUAUUUCAGAAAAAAUGGUGGAACAGUAGUUCCAACUUUAUAUUGAGUUAUACCAACUUAUUUUAAAGAUCCGAAAAUUACUAUUUUCGAUACGAAAAUUUUUGUUUGGGAAUAAAAGGAGAAACAGAGCCGGACCAAACACUGUCCUAUUUUAUUGGACAUCAUAUUUUUGCCAUCGAAUCUUCAUUUUUUAAACGAUAAAUAGAGAAAUUUUAUCAAACUUAUUAAUGCUGGAUCAAUUUUUAUAUUUAACUAACUAGAAUAUUAAUUAGAUAAUUUUUAAUUUAAUCAAUCUUAAUAACAGUUAUAAAAAUAAAGUUAACAAUUUUUUAAUGAAAAAAAAAUGCCAAGUUAGGCCUCGCGUCAUUGUUUUUUAUAACUCUUUUAAUAAUUUAUUUUGUUCUCAAAACUUAUAAUAUGCUCUCAUCAAGUGAUUAACAAAAAAUUUAUUAAAAAGUUUUGAACGCAAAGUAAACUUACUUUUAUAAUUUUAAUUUUUUGAAUAAAAAAUAUUUUUGCUAUAUAAAUUAUAAAUAAUUCAUUAAUUUCUUUUACAUUAUUUUAUAUAAGAAUUUUAUUUCAAAAAAGAGUAAACUUCAACUAUCACUCCGGUGGGUUUUGUAUUUUCUCACUUUAGUACCAUGUGGUUUAAAGAGUAUCAGUUUAUUACCAUAUAGUUUCAUUUUUCUUUUCUGUCAGCUCUUCCGUUAACAUUUCGUUAAAUUAUUAUAGGCUAACUUACAGAAAACUUUCCUGUCAAAAUCCAAUUUUUCACUUUUUUCCCCUGUCAUUUAAAAACCUACACUUUACCCCAGAGGGUACAGUAUGAACUAUGAUGGUAAAAUGAUCAUUUUGCCCCUCACUAUGUUCACAUUAGGAAAGAAGGCUGAGAGCAUUUUUGGCAUAAAAAAAUAUAUAAUAAUAUUUUAUAAACGGAACCCUAACGGAUUACUAACGGCAAGGGGCGAAGUGAACAUUUUUCAUUUUAUAAGGAGGCAAAGUGUAGAUUUUUAAAUGACAAGAGGGGAAAGUGAAAAAUCGAAUUUUGAUAGGAAAUUUUAUGUAAUUUAGCCAUUAUUAUAUACAAAAAACUUUAGAUAUCCUAACUAGGCUUAUCAAAUAUUCACUUUACUGUCUUUUAGUUUUAGCUUUGUCACUAAUUUAAUAAAAAAAAAUUAGUGAAGGUGAUAAUAAAAAGAGAAAAAUAAAAUAACUGAGUACUAAAUUGAUACACUUUAAAAGGUUAAUUUCAUACAGGUCCCUACAAAUAUAGUGAAUAGCAGAUAUAUCCCUGCAAAGUUCAACUUUCAUAAGUUAUUCCUGCAAAAGUCUUAUUGUAUUCAGAUAUGUCCCUGCCGUUAAUACCUGUUAGAGAAAUCUAGUUAACUACAGUUAAAAUACUUAACCAUGAUUAGUUAAUAAAGUAAAAUGACAUUUUUACCAUUCUUCUUCUUCCCCUUCCUCUUCUUCUUCCUCUGCUUCUUCUUCCUCCUCUUCCUCUUCCUCUUCCUCUCCUACUUCUUCUUCCUCUUCUUCUUCGUAUCCUCAUUUUCCUCCUUCUUUUCUCCUCUUUCUUCUUCUUCGUCAUCGUCGUCGAUGAUCCGAUCGUCGUCGCCGUCGUGGUGCCUGCGCCGGCCGUCGUCACGGGCGCCUCCGACGGCAUCGGUCGCGCCUUCGCCUUCCGCCUCUUCCUUGUCCUUGUUGGCCGCAACCGCGACAAGCUCCGCAAGGUCGCCGCCGCCGCCGCCGCCGUCUGCUCCCACAGCAUGAAGAGGAAGAGGAAGAGGAAGAUGAAGAGGGCAAGAGCAAAAUAGUAAUUUUACAACUCUACUGUUAAAAAAUUAAUAGUUCUCUAACAGAUCCAAACUAAAAGGACAUAUCUGAAUAUAUUAAGACUUUUACAUGAAUAACUUAUAAAAAUUAAACUUUAUAAGGAUAUAUCUGUUAUUCAUCAUAUUUGCAGGGACCUAUAUAAAAUUAACUCCACUUUAAAUUAUAGGGUUAGUAUUUAAAGUUUUUUCAAAAAAAAAAGUGACAAUAACCAAGAGAGGCCUCCUUUUGGAAACAACGUGUAGUUGAGGGGCUUCAAGCAUUAUUAUCACAAAACUGAGGUGGGAGCAGGUAUGCCAUUACUACGAAGUGCUACAGUCCACGCUGGUGUGCCUCCGAUUCUUCGCCCGCGAAUAUUCUAAUAAAAAAUUUAAAUAAAUUAAAAAAGAUAUUUAAAAUUUGACUAAGGGUGUAUUUGGUUACUUGUAAAAUCAUCUAAAAACCUUUUUUGGGUUGAAAAGUAAAAUUUUGAUGAUUAUUUACUUGUAAAAAAUAAUAGUUUUUUUAAAAAAAUUACGAACAAAAAAGAAAAACGAAGUUUUUAUUUUACACUUGAACCGAGUGGAAAACAAAAACACGUGGCCUUGUGCGCUGCGUUGGGGAGACAAAGCACGCUGCCCACGAGGUCCACUCCACAUCGUAGACUGUAUUAUAAAUAUUAUUUAUAAAUAUAUAGUAAUUUAUUUUUUAAUAUUAUAUACUAUUAUGAUCGACCGUCUCUAUAGCAAGUGGCAAAGAGCUUGAUGGUUGGUAUCUGAGACCCAAGUUUGAAUCCUAGUUGAUUCACAUUUUUAGCUAAGUUUAUUUCUAAAUGAAAUAAAUGAAGCGGGUAGCGUGCUAUGUAAGGACUGAGAUUUUUUUUACUGUACAACUAAACUCUCUGUUGACGAUGUUUAUGUGUGUAAUUUAAUUACAUAAGCACUCGUCAAGUUUCAGGAGAAAAUGAGCUAAAACGGAGAAGUUACGCGAUUAUUAGUUUUCACUUAAGUGAAUAGUAACUCCGGUUUUUCGGAGA
RNAcentral lists this long non-coding RNA (13823 nucleotides) under Ananas comosus (pineapple). RNAcentral's name for it is "long non-coding RNA (ACOM_LNC018235)". Lineage: Eukaryota; Viridiplantae; Streptophyta; Magnoliopsida; Poales; Bromeliaceae. The record is from RNAcentral.